Molecule: unclassified non-coding RNA, 6365 nt
Filed under: Hevea brasiliensis (rubber tree)
Lineage: Eukaryota; Viridiplantae; Streptophyta; Magnoliopsida; Malpighiales; Euphorbiaceae
Source: RNAcentral
UAAAAGCCUACCGCUACAAUUAUGGUGGCUCUGAUUUAAUUCUUGGUACGAAUUUACAUCCAUUAUUUCUUUUGCAACAAUGUGCCCUGCUGAAACAGAAAGAAACAACACUUUUACAGUCUGUUACAUUUGUUCUGCUUUGGAAUUCAGCACUGAAACUUACUAAAUAUUGCAUAUGACCGGAGCAAUGUGCUUUCAACCUGCAGGUACCCUGAAGUUAGGUUAAAUCGCAUAUGGAAGCCAAUGACACACACAGAUCUAAAUGCAGUGAAAGCCAAUUUCACUACCCUGGACUAUACAGUUGACAAUGAUCCUCCUGAUAAGGCAAUAAUCCAUGCUGUGGAAGCUCCACUAUCGACAAAUUGGCUACUUUUGCAGCCUUUGACAGUCACCGAAACAAUACGCCUUGACUAUGUUUCGGUGUAUUUCACAGAAAUAGUUCUAGAUAUUAAUGCUAUUAGGACGUUUGAUUUAUGUGUGAAUGGACGAAAGAAAUUCACGGUUAACCCCAGUACCAAAACUGCGCAGGAUAUAUGAUAAAUACUCAAGUUUUUGGUUCUCUGACUGUUGACUUAUUUCGAAGCUUUGAUUCCACAGUACCGCCAAUAAUUAGUGCCAUUGAAGUAUACGCUACCAGCGACUCCCUUGUCACUGCAGGAACCUCACAGGAUGACUGUAAGUAGCUUCAAUUAUUUCUCUGCUUUCCUCUCCCUUGUGUGUCAUUUUCUCCAAUCCUCAAGUGGGUUAUCUAUUGAAACAGUGGAUGGUUUAGCUGUUCUCAUAAAUUCCUUCGAGCAGCUGAAGGGAUGGAGCGGUGAACCAUGUCUCCCAAGUGAUACUCUAUGGCAAUGGCUGGGUUGCACAAGCAGCUUCAGCUACCCACCAAGGGUCACUUCAAUGUAUGAUAUCUUUAAAUUAUUUUGCAGAAAUCUGUCAGGAUAUGGUCUCAAUGGUCCUCUCCCUGAUUUCAGCCAAAUGCAAGCCCUUGAAACAAUGUGACUCAUCCACUGACACCAUUUUUUUUUCCUUCCUCAUUUAUUGAUCUACUCUUAACAUUUUUUUUCUUUUGCACUGAUUUCAGAAACCUGUCAGACAACAGUCUUUCUGGUCCAGUCCCAGAUUUCCUUUGAAACCUGCCCAGUCUAAGAUUGCUGUAAGUCUAAUAGCACAAGAUAUAAUAAUGAUUAAAGGAUAACUGUAAACUAAUUGUGAUUCCACAUGAAUUACUUUGUUAUUCUCCUUUCUUAGUGACCUUCGAGAUAAUGGCUUUUCUGGAGAGAUUCCUCAAAGCAUCGCUGAUAACAACCAAUUAACUUACUAGUAAGUGUGACUUGUCUUUAUUUUUGUUAAAUUUAAUCCCUAACUACACAAAUUUUCUGAAAUUUGUUUGUUCUUGUUAUAAAUGCAGCAUAGAUGGGAACCCAAAUCUCCAUCGAGCAAAGAAAAAGAAUUUGGCUCUUAUGGUUGGUUUAGCUGUUGGAAUACAAAUAUGCCUACUAGUAGUGAUUGCAGUGAUAAUUACAGUUUACUUCUCAAAGAGAGAGCCACCACCAUCCAGCCCAGGACAAGCAACAGAAGUGGAGAUGGGAGGGACAACUCAAGAGGAGAAUCCUUCUGUGACAGUAAUCACAGAAGCAAUAGUCAAGCCAUCAAAUUCCAUGGAGAAUAUAACUUCAUAAUCAGACGGAGAAAGUUUUACAUCACCACCAAAUGGCACACAUACGAAUCUGCAGAUGCAUGCCGAUGGCCAUUCUGCGGAAACAGGAAGAGAAGAUAUUACAGCCAAUGUUAAUGCUGGAAUUACUAAUCCUCCACCCGUGGUUCAAGAUAUUGAUGAGGAAGAACUAAAUGAUCUACUUCGACAACAUGGAAGUACUGGGGUCAAUGUGAGAACAUAACAUGUUAAGCCCUGUGCUCCUCAUGGCUUAAAUAAGGAGUUAUGAAUGAAUUCACUGAAUCCUGAGCUUGAUUUAAACCUUUCUCAUGAACUCACUCAAUAAAUCCUGAGCUUGGUUAAAAUCUGAAACAUCAAGAGAUCAAAAAAAAAAAAAAAUCACAAUGAGGUAUAAUGGAUAAGUGAGUUGCAGGAGCCAUAGUUUCCAGAAUCACUUUGUCAGAUCAGUAUUAAGAAACCAAACAACUAGAACUUGCAGAUAAGUGCCCAAAAUAGUUAUAAUAUCUCUAAUAAUACUUAGAUGCUAUCACUGUCAACACCUAAUAAUAUAUAUUAUGUACCGUUCCUGAUACGGAAUGCCAAUGACAAUAGCCAUUGUAUCUGAUGGGUCACUUGAAAGAAACAAGUUGUUUAGCCGUGUUAAAAAUGAGAUUCUUCCUAGCAGUGUCCUGUAGUUAUGGAGACAGAAAUAUGAAAACAAACUUUCUAAAUCAUCCCAUUUUAUAUAUUUGAUUCAGAUAAUGACCUUCUCAGGUAAAGUACAAGCAAAUUGAAUGUUAUUGAUUGACGAGCGGAUUCAUAUAAACUGAUGCUGCGCAAGAAAAACACCUGACCACAUGUUGCAUGUACGUAUUGAUUUAACAUAAUGCUUCAGAUAAAUUUUCAGAGUUCAGUGUAGGCUCUGCGAAUGAGGGAAGUAAAGCGUUUGCAGGCCCAAGAAAAUUGGAAAUGGGUUUUGCAGUAGCCAAGCUUCUUCAUGACAGGAGGGCAAAGACCAUUUAGCAGGCAAUCGAAAUGGUUUCCCACAUGGGUUUUACUUUGAAUGUCAAGUUCUUUGAUAAAACCUAUUUUGUGAUAUUUUAACAGAUUUUUUCAAAAUUUAUAAUUCUAUUCACCAAAAGAAUACAUAUAUGCCCAUCAUUUAUGACAAUCUACAAACCGAGGUUUGUGCUAGCAGAAGAAACCCAAUUUACAGGUAUAUUAAUCCAUGAUUUUACUUCCAACAAUACCAAAGGGUAUACAGGCCAUCCACAACAUCAUAUUAUAUAUGAUGAAUUGGCGACUCAAUGCUACAGAAAUUUAGAUCAAAGCUAAACUUAAGGAUAAUUUCAACUUGAAGAGGACAAAACAUACAUGACUUUCUAAUUUUAACCCUGUACAGCACACAAUGAAAUGAGCACUCGCAACCAUGUAAGACGGCACUAUGAAAUCUCAACAUGCACCUAAACCAGAUUGGCAAAGUAAUGUUCAGAAAUGGGAAAUUAUAUUAAUUGGAUACUAGAUAAGUUGGCGUCACUUGUUAAUCUCGACACAUAACCAUAGUACAUUGUAUUUAUUGGAUGGUAGAUAAGUUGGUAUCACUUAUUGUUCAGAAAUAGGAACUUGUAAUCUAUGGUUAUGGCCUGCAACCACAAUCUGCCCUUCAACAUGGAAAGCUACAGGUGGAGAGCAGUUACUAGGCAUAGUUAUUUCAGAGCACGCUGAAGCUAUUGUAUUGGCUUUCAUCAUCUUCAAUUUACUAAGUGAUAUAUUUGCUAAAAUGACUGCUCACUGCAACGGGAUUGACAAGGCAAUUACCAAAAAAUUGUAAAAUUCAAGUAACAUUUAAUGCUGCAAACUGACUUACAUUCUAACGAAUAAGAGUACAUACUGACACUUUACAAUGUAAAACAAAAAAAAAACUCGUUAAUGUUGAGGUAGGGCCGGUCUCUUUUCCAAUACCUCAUAAUGAACAACAAAAUUAUCCUUGCGAAUUAUUUCGAAUGUAUUUGGAUCAAAACAGUGGUAAGAUCCUCUCUCAUAUGUAUUUGUCUUAACAAGUGGCUCUACGUUGGGGACUCUUAUGAACCACAACCGGUGCUCUUUGUGAUAAAACCAGCCUCUGUUAUAACUGCCAACAAGAGGUUUCACAUCAUCCUUAGCAAAAUACCUUCUAAGCUGAUUACCAACAAUAUCAGGAUACAAAAUACUCCAAAACCUUGAUGGCUUUAACAAAUGAAAACAAUUGAUUCUACAUUUGAAAUAAAUCCACGUAGAAGCAGGAAAAGCAGUACAAGGAAUCAGAGAGGAGGCUGCAUGGAUAUGAAACAACAAUGAAUUCAAUUCAGCAGCUGAGAGCUUACAGUUCAUUUGCAGCAUAUAAUUGAGCUUCAUCCUUUGGCAUGCUAUAAAAUAUAUAAAACAACGUUUCCACUGUGAAUUUUGAAAAGUAUCCUUGAUGUAGAGCAGGAGGUUGUUUAGCAUAAUAGCAUUGAGGCACACUAAACUCUGGAUCACCCUUAGCUGGCUCAUCAGACCAUGGAGAGCCAAAUGUCUUGUGGAGAUUUUCUGUUGAAUUCAAAUUUAGUCCAAGAGUGGUUAAAUCAAUUCCAAGAGCCAGUGAGGUCAGAUCAGGGUCGCUCAUCCUUAUAACACUUAACAAACCAAGUAACCCAAACGGGUCAGGUGCAGAUUGCGCUGCUUGCACAGAUUUCAUGCCCUGAUCCCUAAAUGGCUGAUUGACAGCUGAUAUUUGUUGUAAUCGAAAUUGGGACUGGUUUUGGUGUUGCUGAUACUGCUGGAUGAGCUGGUCAUAUGGUCCAAUACCAGAAACUGUAUUUGGUGAGUUCAGAGGUCUCAGUCCAAUCCCAGGUGGUCCGUUGGUCUGAACCAAAGAUGAAGUACUUGGUUAAAAGAAAAUUUUUAAAAACAGAAACAUAAUAAAUGCAAAGGGAGAAAAGAAUCAAAUUCAUAGUGACACUACCAUGACAUGACAAAAUGAAACCAUUUCAAUCAAAUUUUUAAUUUACAGUUUUUUAAAUUUUAAACAAGGCAGUAGUUACAUAUCAUCCAUUCUUAGAUUUAAAACCAGUCACUUGACCUUGGAUAACCCCAAAAUACAUUAGCCACAAAUUAUUUACAGCAAGUCUUUUACACCUGUGAGUGAUAGGUCGAAUGUGAAGAUGGAAAUAUAUCUGAACCAUGAAGAAGAUCUUGAUUGUUUACAGGUGAAAACGAGACCCCACUACUACUGACAGCUGGAGCAUGUUGUUGUUGCUGCUGCUGCGGACGAUAAGAUGAAUAAUUUCCCCCCAAGUUGAAUCCAGCAGACCUGCCCAUAGGGAAGUGCUGAGAUUGCAUCAUUGACAUGCUGUUGUCAUGCAGUUGUUCUUUCUGAUGCAAAUCCAUAGUGUAAUCAGCAUUACCACCUUUAAAUCCAGGUAGAGCUGGAAAGUCUUCAUUCUGGAUGCUGAACUCUUGGUUUUGUUGAACAAUGGGGCUGACUCCAAGACCUUGUUUCCGUAACGAACCCAAUUGUCCUUGAGGCCCUCCAGCAGAACUAGGACGACUUGUCAACUGAGGGAAGUCAUUAUUUAUGUCAAAAGGGGAACUGUCAUUGGAGUUCACAUCAUUUAACAUUCCCAUGGAGCUAAGAUUGUUCACUGCUUGGACAUGACUUUGGGAAAGAGGACCACCAGCAGUUGGAUAAGAAUUUCCCAACAUGGAAAUUACCUGUGGAGAUCCUUGUGGAAGUACACCACUCAUUAAUCUAUUUUGUCCUUGCACACUUAAACUUCCAGAUCCACUAUUUGCAGUUAGAUUUAGCCGAGAUGCGAGACCAGGCACAGAUAAUCCUCCACCCGAGCUUAUGCUCCUCCCAAUGUUGCCCCCACCAACCAUGUUUCCCAUAGAACUUGUAAUCCGAGGGCCUGCAUUUCCCAAUAUUGGGGAUACUCCCAAUCCUGGCACAGCAUUCCGGUUGCCAAUUCCAGCAGAGGUUGGAAGAAUCCCAGGAAUGGAACCACCAACUCCAUUUGUGUUACUACUAAAUCCAGGAUUUCCUAUAACAUUUAUACCUCUAUUUGUAACUCCUGAAUGUCCAUGAGAGCUGCCAUGAGAUAACUGAGAGAGUGCAACAGGAAGAUUAUUGGAUGCAAAGCGACCGCUAGAGAGGCUUCCGGUAGGUUGUUGAACUCCUCCAGAAGGAACAUUACUUAUUGUAGAAUUUCUUGAUGCAAGUGUACCUGGCAUGUUGGGAACAUUAAAGCUCCCGUGGAUGUUAUGCAGCCCUUGAAUAGUUCCAGUAUGAUGAAAAACAGGAGAUGCUGCACCAGACUGACCAGAGAAAGAAGAGGCAAAAGAACGCCCAUUACUGUCAGGUAGAUUUGAAGCUGAACUGUUUAGCGAAGAAUUAAGUAUCCCCGACAUUGCAAAAAUGUCAAAAGGUUAUGUGAAAAAUCAUUCCUCGCCGACGGGUAGCUGUCCUUGUCUUGAGUCAAGGAAUAAAAAUAGAUCAAAAAGCUUAUCCCAAUAAAUAUUCAAUCUACAGCCUGAGAGGCAGAUCAGCGAUGUAUAUAGAGAUCUUUUUGGGUUGUGAGUCAAAAGAAGCGAGUUCGAGUUUGCCCUAAAUUGAAUUUGAAAGAAGGGAAUAAGAGAGUGAGAGAGAGAGAGAAAUGGUGACCGACUGAAAGAAAGCGAAAAAAGGAAAAAU